AUUUAUAUAAUAUAAAAAUUAUAUUUAAUUUCCAAUUAAAAAGUCUAGAAAUAACUAGUAUAAAUA
Molecule: transfer RNA, 66 nt
Filed under: Longitarsus pratensis
Lineage: Eukaryota; Metazoa; Arthropoda; Insecta; Coleoptera; Chrysomelidae
Description: tRNA-Gly
Source: RNAcentral